Molecule: long non-coding RNA, 208 nt
Organism: Acyrthosiphon pisum (pea aphid)
Lineage: Eukaryota; Metazoa; Arthropoda; Insecta; Hemiptera; Aphididae
Source: RefSeq, a predicted model, not a curated record
GUAUUUUUCUUUUAUUAUUGUCGUUCGUUGCUGAAAAAUAGAAAGAAGUUGUAUUCAGAAAAGUCCGUACUUAACUAUAUUCUUAAAAAAAUGACAUCAAUUUUAUUCAAGUUAAACGUUAUACUUAUUGUGCUAUACGUCAGCAUGACGAUUAUCCAUUUGUCGUCACAAGUUCUAAAGAAUGAGGAUAAAUCACCGGCAGUAACUG